UACGAAGGGAGCUAGCGUUGUUCGGAAUCACUGGGCGUAAAGCGCACGUAGGCGGAUGUGUCAGUCAGGGGUGAAAUCCCGGAGCUCAACUUCGGAACUGCCUUUGAUACAGCACGUCUUGAGUCCGAUAGAGGUGGGUGGAAUUCCGAGUGUAGAGGUGAAAUUCGUAGAUAUUCGCAAGAACACCAGUGGCGAAGGCGGCUCACUGGCCCGGUACUGACGCUGAGGUGCGAAAGCGUGGGGAGCAAACAGG
RNAcentral lists this ribosomal RNA (253 nucleotides) under uncultured bacterium. Its description in RNAcentral is "partial 16S ribosomal RNA". It matches the Rfam family "Bacterial small subunit ribosomal RNA", at positions 524 to 776 of the family's 1533-position model. The record is from RNAcentral.